This 669-nucleotide ribosomal RNA is filed under the name uncultured bacterium. RNAcentral describes it as "bacterial SSU rRNA". It matches the Rfam family "Bacterial small subunit ribosomal RNA", at positions 171 to 859 of the family's 1533-position model. The record is from RNAcentral.
GCAUAUGUUCGCUCAUUCGGUUGGGCGAGUAAAGCAGCGAUGCGCUUAGGGAUGGGCCUGCGGCGGAUUAGGUAGUUGGUGGGGUAACGGCCUACCAAGCCGAUGAUCCGUAGGGGGCGUGAGAGCGUGGCCCCCCACACUGGCACUGAGACACGGGCCAGACUCCUACGGGAGGCAGCAGUGAGGAAUAUUGCACAAUGGGCGCAAGCCUGAUGCAGCAACGCCGCGUGAGGGACGAAGGCCUUCGGGUUGUAAACCUCUUUUCUGAGGGACGAGGAAGGACGGUACCUCAGGAAUAAGUCUCGGCUAACUACGUGCCAGCAGCCGCGGUAAAACGUAGGAGGCGAGCGUUAUCCGGAUUUACUGGGCGUAAAGCGCGCGCAGGUGGCUUCGUGAGUCGGACAUGAAAGCUCCUGGCUUAACUGGGAGAGGCUGUUCGAUACUGCGGGGCUUGAGGUUGGGAGAGGGACGCGGAAUUCCCGGUGUAGUGGUGGAAUGCGUAGAUAUCGGGAGGAACACCAGUGGCGCAAGCGGCGUCCUGGCCCACACCUGACGCUGAGGUGCGAAAGCGUGGGUAGCAAACAGGAUUAGAUACCCUGGUAGUCCACGCUGUAAACGAUGUCAACUGGGUGUCGGUAGUUUUACACUAUCGGUGCCGAAGCUAACGCG